Molecule: long non-coding RNA, 1121 nt
Organism: Odontomachus brunneus
Lineage: Eukaryota; Metazoa; Arthropoda; Insecta; Hymenoptera; Formicidae
Exons: 3
Source: RefSeq, a predicted model, not a curated record
UAUGUGAAGUUUAACCGCCGACACGGUAAGACGUGUCUGAACAAGUUCAGACCAGUGAUUUUUGGAAGUUGCCUUGGAACCUGCCAAGACCUUAUUCAUUCAUACCUCAUAUAAGGAUUGGAGAAUGGCGUAUGGGGAUAACCUUUUUCCCCGGAGCCAAUACAGAACAGAAUAGAACAGAUGUUACGUAUGUGCUUGUGCGUUGUCUCGUAGGGAGACAGAUUAGAGCACGUUAAAUCGCAAAAUAAGUGAGAAUACAGGAAGAUAAAUAAAAAAUGGAAAAUAUGUAUAUUAGGAUAAACUAUAUUAAUAGAAACAUCCUAUUUCUAUAAGUGCAAAUAAUGUCCACAUUUAUAAUCUGAAAAGUUACAUGUAACAAUAUUGAAAUGUAAUAUAUUUACAAUAUACAUAAGAUGCUUUCAUGUUGUGUACCUAAGUGCACAAAUUUUCCAAGAAAACAAUAUUCAGUACAUUGUUUUCCGACGGAUAUUGAAAGAAGACAAAAAUGAAAGAAGAUAAAAAACAUCAAUAGAUCAAUCUUAAAUCCAGAAACAAUAUGUAUGCAAGGAACAUUUUGCACCAGAAAUGUGGAAGAAAUAGCGAGUAGAUGGAAAAAAAAAAUUAAAAAGUUGUGCAAUUCCCACAAUUUUUCCACAGAAAACAAUUACAAAUAAUGUUAUAGGUUCAAUUGCAAAUAUUGACGUCAAUUGUACAUCAAAUAGAGCAAACGAUUAGUUAUCAAUUAAUUUAAUAGAACAGGAUAGAAAAAUAACAAUAAAAUCACCAAUUAAUGAUAAUAGUGAAUUCACAAGCAACAUUUAACACAAAAAAGAACUCCCGACAGUGCCAUCCAUUACAAAAACAACCAUUCCUAUGCCAUUAAAUAUAGGUGAUAUGAAGAAAUUGGAAAUGUUGGAAUAUGCUGAGCAUAGAACACAGAAAGCUCUUUCAAAAGCAAAACAGACACAACUGAAACUACACCAAGCAAACAAAAUAAUUACAAAAUUAGAUAAGUCAAAGAAGACUGAUAAAAUGCGUGAACAACCUGAUGCAUAAAAAAAAAAGUUAAUACAAGAAAUAUGCUAUUGGAGACAAAAUAAAAACAUCGAAAAAAUAUUAAA